Molecule: ribosomal RNA, 484 nt
Filed under: uncultured bacterium
Lineage: Bacteria
Description: partial 16S ribosomal RNA
Rfam family: Bacterial small subunit ribosomal RNA
Source: RNAcentral
AGCGAACGCUGGCGGCGUGCUUAACACAUGCAAGUCGAACGAGAACGGAUUAUAGCUUGCUAUAAUUGUCAGCUAAGUGGCGCACGGGUGAGUAAUGUAUAGGUAAUAUGCCUCUUACUAAGGGAUAACAAUUGGAAACGAUUGCUAAUACCUUAUAUUCCUUUUUAUCAAAAGAUAAAAAGGGAAAGAUUUAUUGGUAAGAGAUUAGCCUGUAUUGUAUCAGUUAGUUGGUGGGGUAAUGGCCUACCAAGACGGUGACGCAUAACUGGUUUGAGAGGAUGAUCAGUCACACUGGAACUGAGACACGGUCCAGACUCCUACGGGAGGCAGCAGUGGGGAAUAUUGCACAAUGGACGAAAGUCUGAUGCAGCAACGCCGCGUGGAGGAUGACACAUUUCGGUGCGUAAACUCCUUUUAUAUAAGAAGAUAAUGACGGUAUUAUAUGAAUAAGCACCGGCUAACUCCGUGCCAGCCGCCGCCGUAA